GUACUCAUCUCCAAAAUCCAACAGCAACAGGUCAAACAAGCCUUGGAAUCUAAGCUAAUAGCCUAAGAAGAAGGACAUCAGAGCAGCUUCUCAUAAUCUGCAGCUUUCAGAAAUAAGACAUAAAAUUCUGAGCAACCCACACAAUCUCAAGGACAAACAUGAAAAGGUGGGACUGUGGCCCUAUUAGAAACUCUGCCUGAGCAGCUCUAUAAAAAUGUUGCAGAGAUGAAUCUGUGGUGUUAUAUGAUACCAACUACAUUAUCAUGAAGUAGCAAUAAGAAGCAAACCUUCUUAUUGCUACUUCAUGAUAAUGUAGUUGAAUGAUAGUAGAAUGAUACUCUACCAUAAGAAGUCAGCUUCAGAGAAGAAUUUAAGCAACCAAUACUCAUCUGCAUCAUUCUUUGCCCAGUGCAAGAUAUUUCUCUGAAAUGACUUUCUGAGUUCUAAAUUACUCAGAUGCUCACAUCAAAGUGCUUUAUCUUCCCCCAGCUGGGAGUUCUGGUUAUUUCCUCACCAUUCGUUUGUUCUGUUGCUCAGCCUAUAUCCUAUAUUUACUUUUUCUUAGUUUCAUACCAUUAUUCUCAGUUAUUUUGACAGCACUUAAAAAAAAAAAAAAAAAAAGAACUGUAGGAAAUACUUCCAAGAUUUGUUUCAAAUGAAGACUGGAAGAAUAAACGUUUUAUAAGUUCAAGAAAAAAAUAUGAAUCUUCAGAACUUCACAGCAUUGCCCUAGAGUAGAACUCGGAAGUUUUCUUCUUAAAUACAUAAAAUGACUUGAAAGCAAGUUACCUGUCUCCAGCUGCACACACACCCCUACUUGUAUAUUUUCAGAAAUGUCGUAAAAUGGGUCAGCCUUUUGAUGCCCUGGAAUAUGCAGCCAUAAAAAUAUACUAUCUUGUGAUUAACCUAAAAAACCUGAUGUUCCUGUGGUUAAGAAGCUCUGUCUUCCCCUGUGUCUGCCUAGAGAACCUGAAUGUGAACAAGUCUGUGGGACGUGAUGAGAUGCAUCUGCAGGUCCUAAGGGAACUGCUGGAUGAAGUUCACAGAAUCAUUGAGGUUGGAAAAGACCUCAAAGAUCAUCUGGUCCAACCAUCACUCUACUACCAACGGCACCCACUGAACCAUGUUCCUAAGCACCAAGUCCACCUUUACUAAAACACUCCCCGGGACAGUGACUCCACCACUUCCCUGAGUAACCCGUUCCAAUGCCUGACUACUCUUUCUGAGAAGAAAUGUCUACAAAUUUCCAGAGUAAACCUCCCCUGGAACAACUUGGGGCCAUUCCCUUUUGUCCUAUCACUACUUAUCUGUGAGAAGAGGCUGACAUCCAGCUCCCCACAAUUUCCUUUCAGGCAGUUGUAGAGACCAAUAAGGUCUUCCCUGAGCAUCCUCUUCUCCAGACUAAACAACCCCAGUUUCCUUAGCCAUUACUCACAGGACUUGUGUUCCAGGCCCUUCACCAGCUUCAUAACCCUUCUCAGACACACUCUAGGGCCUUAAUGUCUUUCUUAUAAUGCCCAAAGCUGAACACAGUACUCGAGGUGUGGCCUCACCAGAGCAGAAUACAAGGGGACAAUCACCUCCCUGGUCCUGCUGGCUACACUGUUCCUGAUACAUGCCAGGAUUUUUGGUCACCUGGACACACUGCUCAUUCAGGGGAGCAUCAAUCAGCACCCCCAGAUCUUUUUCCUCUGCACAGCUUUCGAGCCAAUCUUCCCCAAGCCUGUAGCUCUGCAUAGGGUUUUCGUGGCCAAAGUGCAGGACCCUCCACUUAGUCAUGUUCAGCCUCAUCCCAUUGGCCUCUGCUCAUCCACCCUGUACAGAUCCCUUGCAGGGCCUUCUUGUCUUCUCGCAGAUCAACACUCCCCUCCAACUUGGUGUUGUCUGCAGACUUACUGAGGGUGUACGCCAUUCCCUCAUCCAAAACAAGAUAUUAAAGAGGAUGGGCCCCAACACCUACCCCUGGGAAGACCACUUGUGACUGGUCAUCAGCUGGCUUUCACUAUGUUCAACACUACUCUCUGGGCUCAGCCAUCCAGCCAGUUUUUACCUCAGCAAGGACUGUACCUGUCCAAGACACAGACUGCCAGCUUCUCCAAGAGAACACUAUGGGAGACUGUGUCAAAG
This is a long non-coding RNA of Cairina moschata (Muscovy duck), 2127 nucleotides long. Lineage: Eukaryota; Metazoa; Chordata; Aves; Anseriformes; Anatidae. The record is from Ensembl.